GACGAACGCUGGCGGCGUGCUUAACACAUGCAAGUCGAGCGGUAAGGCCCUUUCGGGGGUACACGAGCGGCGAACGGGUGAGUAACACGUGGGUGACCUGCCCUCAGCUCUGGGAUAAGCCUGGGAAACCGGGUCUAAUACUGGAUAUGACUCCAUGACGCAUGUUGUGGGGUGGAAAGCCUUGUGCGGCUGAGGAUGGGCCCGCGGCCUAUCAGCUUGUUGGUGGGUGAUGGCCUACCAAGGCGACGACGGGUAGCCGGCCUGAGAGGGCGACCGGCCACACUGGGACUGAGACACGGCCCAGACUCCUACGGGAGGCAGCAGUGGGGAAUCUUGCGCAAUGGGCGAAAGCCUGACGCAGCGACGCCGCGUGAGGGAUGACGGCCUC
This 388-nucleotide ribosomal RNA is filed under the name uncultured bacterium. Its description in RNAcentral is "bacterial SSU rRNA". It matches the Rfam family "Bacterial small subunit ribosomal RNA", at positions 28 to 418 of the family's 1533-position model. The record is from RNAcentral.